RNAcentral lists this ribosomal RNA (253 nucleotides) under uncultured bacterium. RNAcentral's name for it is "partial 16S ribosomal RNA". It matches the Rfam family "Bacterial small subunit ribosomal RNA", at positions 524 to 776 of the family's 1533-position model. The record is from RNAcentral.
UACAGAGGGUGCGAGCGUUAAUCGGAAUGACUGGGCGUAAAGGGUGUGUAGGUGGUUUAAUAAGUUAGGUGUAAAAGUCCCGGGCUUAACCUGGGGAGGUCGCUUAAGACUGUUAGACUAGAGUACUGGAGAGGAAGGUGGAAUUUCCGGUGUAGCAGUGAAAUGCGUAGAUCUCGGAAGGAACAUCAGUGGCGAAGGCGACUUUCUGGCCAGCUACUGACACUGAGGCACGAGAGCGUGGGGAGCAAACAGG